Molecule: non-coding RNA, 420 nt
Organism: Paramuricea clavata
Lineage: Eukaryota; Metazoa; Cnidaria; Anthozoa; Malacalcyonacea; Plexauridae
Source: the annotation of a GenBank genome assembly
GGACUGCAAGGAGUGUGGCGAAAUUUCGUCUUUUGACUUCGAUUUAAAUAAUAUAAUUAUGGUUUUAUGAACUGAUAACUUCAUUAGCGAUACGGUUGUUUAGAAAAAAAAACGGAAUUAGCUACGAAGUAUUGGACGUCAAUUUCCGUCAUCUUGGCUUCGCUGUUCUCAUAUGGUAUACGCCGAAUGACUGAAAUUCUAUAUAUAUAUAUAUAUAUAUAUAUAUAUAUAUAUAUAUAUAGAGCUCACUGGUUCUGAAUUUAGUCUUCACCUGCUGCUCCAUAACAUUUACCAACUAAAACAUGAAAAGUUUUGUCCAAGACUUUGUUACGAUCUCCUUUUGAAACGUUACCUUUCUUCAUAGUGCAAUUUUUUUUAAUAUUUUCCUUAUACUCUUUAGAUUAAUUCUCCUAACGUAAA